UAUUUUAAUUAGGAUUUAAAAAAAAAGGAAAAAUAGGUUUAAUGUGAAGAAGCGACGCUUAAGCAGGAGUUAGAGGAGCCGGCGCUUCUGGGACACGUGUUCCAUUUUGGAUACAUCUUUCUCUCUCUCUUGACGAAACCUUCAUCAAUCCGCUUCUCUCAAUCUUCCGUGUUGGAUUUGCCGUCUAAAGUUUCUGACUUUCCGACGAGGAAGUAGAGGAGUAAGACGAAGAUCAUAGCAACAAAGCGAAAUAGCUCUCUUCUCUGUAGAUACAAGCGAUCAGACUCAACUCUGUUCAGAUUCCACAAAGGUUAGUCCAUAUCGAGAUGUAAACGAGGAAGGUGUUGUUGGUAAGGAGGAGGAUCAGUUAGCUCUUGACGUGAAGGGUUUAAAUUAUUUGUGGAUACGCUGUUGCAAUCAGGCAACUUGACCGUAAUGGUGCUCAAGGAAUCAGGGAGUUUGCGGUUGAGGUGUUGACACUUACUUUGAUUGGAGUAGUGUGAUGAAUGAAGAAGAUAAUAGAGCAUGGUUAUGGAGAGCAAGUCUUUGGUGAAAGCCGACAGAGAUGAGUCCUCACCUUAUGCUGCUAUGCUUGCUGCUCAAGAUGUCGCUCAGAGAUGUAAGGUAAAAGCAAAUUUUCUAUUGCCAAAAUUUUCAUCUAGAAUGUUUUUCAUUGCAUCAUAGAAUAUGAACAAAACUCAGCUCUGAACAGAUUUAUUUUCCUGCUAUAUGACCAUAAGAUUGUCUUGAAUUUUGGUUGCUUGAAAACUCUCUAUUGCCAAUUUUCUUUUAAGAAUCCCUAAAUAAGAAACUAGCAUUGGAGCUAAAAAUCAAGGUGUCUCUUAACUAAAGAUCUUAAUUACAUUUAAAUACUAAAAUAUUCAUUAAGCACCUCUAAGAGGGUAUGUGGGUUAAUCAUGCUCUUUAUAAUUCUAAUUCUUACCAACUUUUGUUCCGAGUAAAUUAAAUCCAAAUCAUCAUUGUAAAAAAAUCCAAAUAAUGGCCAAGUAUGUCAUACGUGGAUCUAGCCUGAAUUGUUUUUAUUUUCCAGCCAAAAUUAUUGUUUUUAUUGUACUCUAUUCCUACUCCUAACGCUCGUUCAUUCAUCAUCCUAUGCAAAUAGAACCUUGUGUGAAGUUCCCGAAUUAUGUCUAUUUGCACCACGAAAAUCUUUCAGUUCUAAUAAUCCCGGCUUGUGCUCCCUCAUCUCAAGUAGUACAGGUUCUGAUGUUCAGCUGUGCUUUCGCCAUAGCUCUCUGCCGCCAAUACGGUAAUAUUGGUAGUGGAAGGCUCUGGAAGACCUCAGCUUUUACCUUACAGUCAAAUCUCGUCAAGCUUCUCCAUUUGUUUGCCGGUGCAGUGGUAAAGACUUAUCAAACCCCACCUUGGGGCCAGGAGAGACCACUUCCACGCUCCUCCUUCGUUGAGGAGAAAAUUGGUCAAUUGUUUGUCUCCUCCAUGAGAGGUUCACUCUGUCCGGAUCCAAUUCUGGUGAAUUUAAUUUUAACCACGGUCCUAACCGUGUAGUGAGAACCAAGGUUUUGAAGUCUCUGUCAAAAUCACAAGUUUUUUUUGAAAAAUAAAAGAUUAAACUCGGAUCUAUUAAAGACACGUACCUAAUUCCCUAAUCUAUUAAAAUCACAAAUUAAGGUGACGAUCCUCAAGUUAGAAACUUUUGAAGUGCGGUGGUAAUCCUUUGUGAUUCUGUCCGCAAGUGGCUCCUUCGAAAACCUUUCUAAUGCUUUAUCAAGCUUGUUAAAGCCUGUACCAUCUCUUCUAUUGCUUUAGCUGUUUUGUUGUUGUAGUCACUAGGCUUGCACAUCGGAUAUGUCCGCUGAUGCGUUUUUCUCAUAUAACCGAUUAAGUUUAUAAAUGAAGUUGUGUUCAAAAAAAAAGUGUUGCUUUGUAAAGUUCCGAAGAAAAUCUUUUUUUUAAAGGUUAUUUCUAAGAAAAUCUUACGAAAGUCAUUCUUGGAUAUUAGUCAGCAAAAUAAAUGUAUAAUUUUUAUAAUAAUUUAUCCCUCAUACGAAAGUCAUUCUUGGAUAUUAGUAAGCAAAAUAAUUGUAUAAUUUUAUAAGCAUUUGUAUUCCAUGUCUCCAUGUAUUAUACAUAUCUAUUAUUUACAUAUUUUACGUAAAUUAUUUUAUAUUGUACAUAAAUCGUGAUAAAAAUAUUUCAUAUUAAAGUUAUCCAACUCUCCAAUAAUUUUUUGUCUUUUAUAUUUAUUUUUUGCUACUUUAAAAUGAUUGUAGAUAAUUUCUCUUGAUUUAUUAUCCUUCUGUAAUCUGUAGUAUGUAUAGAAAAAAUAUAUUUAAGAGAUGGUUUUAUCAAUGAAUAAUAAAAAGGAACCAUUUCUGCAUAUUUAAAACUAAGAGGGAUUACUUUUGCAAAGUAUUAUAAACAUAAUGGGCAAAGACAAUCUUCUUUAGGCUUUAUGUUCCAUCAGGUAUAAUGCAAACACAUAAUGCUGAAUCUAUUCGAUAAAGACAUGCCUUUUUAGGAGAACAAAACAAACUUAAACUUAAACAAACAAGGGAAAACAACAUUUAACGAUGUUAUAUAUUGGUCAUUGAAAAUCUAAAGAAACACAUAUACAACUACAUUAACUAUUUAAAAAACUAAGUCAUUGUGAUCCAGUGGAAAAAAAAACUUAGAAAAUGUAAUUAUUAUUAUUAUUCUUUUGAUAAGUAUGUGAAUAGAAAAUGUAAUUUCAAUCCUUUCUGAGUUUGAUUGUUUUAUAUAAAAAAAUAUUCGUAUUCGCUAAUAGUCGAGAUAGUGUUAUGAUAUCAACCCACUAAAAACUUGGAGUAUAGAUUAUUCAGCUAUAUUUACCUUAUUUACCUUUCAAAGUUAGUUGAAUUUUAGUUCAGAACCUUAUAAUUAAGUAAACAAAUUUGUUUACGUCUACAAGUCUACAAUAUCUAGUUAUCUGCAAAUCAUGUUUUCCUAGAAAUCAUAUUACUAUGAAAACAAAUUUCUCCUUUCUAUACAUAAAAGGUUUAAAUGAAAUGAUUUUGACUAUUCUUAAAAUAAUAAGAAUUCCAGCUUCUUGUAUAUAUCUAUAUAAUAACUAAAACAUUAUAUAUAUAUGCAGGAAAUAAGCUAUAUAAUUAUGACUACGAGUAUUGCUAACGAAUUCAUGUGACAAGAGCAAAAACAAAAAAAUGGUCACUGACCUUAGUAGUGAGUAUCAAGAUUCAGGAAUUUACAUGGGCGUAUCACGACACGUAGCAUAAAUUCUCAGAUCAACAUUGGAGUGUAUUAAAGUUCAAAAAACCUUGGACUAAUAUGAUUGGAGCUAGCCCUUAGCAUAUUUAUAGUUCAUAGUAGAAGAUGAUGUGUCAAAUGUCCUACGUCUGCAUGUACGGCUAUAUAUAUAACCACGUCGUUAAACAAUAGCAUCGUCUUGUCAAAUGGAAAAUAUAUAGUGUAAUCUGAUGCCAAUGGUUUAAUAAUAUACUAAAUUAAGUUGUAGAUGAUAAUAGAGAUGAUGGUUACACGUACAUUUUGCAAACCAUUGGAGCGACGUAUCGUCGGUGGCUUAUUCUUGCCAGAUAGUAACUAGUGAGACCGUCCUUAGCAUUAUUAAUGGAGGGUUCGGAAUAUAAAAAAUCGUCUCUUAACUUUUAACUAAAAAAACUAAAAACUGAUUUUUUAUAAUCCGCUAAUAACUUCAUCCUAAGAACCCUCCAUUCAUCAUGCUCUUAGGUAUGAGUAACUAGAAAGGAAUACAAAUGUCUAUUUCUAAAUAAUCCAAAUAUAAUAGUUCUAAAAAACACCGAUUAAAUAACUAAGAGUUUUAACUACUAAAUAAUCUAAGAGUUAUAACCACUAAUCAUGUUCUCAACCAUGUUUUUGCAUCUUCCUCUAAAUUUUUUUAAUGUUUAAACUCUGAAAAGAAACAACAUGCUGAAGAUUUGACGUUCAUGGUUGUACAUAUAUAGAAUUAAUUGAUAAUUAAAUGUGUUGACCUAUAUUUCAUACAUGUUGUAUUAGAUCCCAACUUAUAAGGAGAUGUGGGAUAUCUAAAAGACUAUAACUAAUAACCCCCACUAAACCCCAUUCUGUAUGAUGGUUCUUGCUCUAUAACCUAUUUAUAACUGACUUUCAUUAUACAAUGCAAUAACAUAUAAUAUUCAGAAUUAUUUUGAAUUUGAUACCAUGUAAAUCAUGUUAAUAAAUUUACAACUCAAUAUCACUUGAGAAUGAAUGUACUGACUCAUAUAUCUCAUUAGGUAGGUAUUCCUUACUUAUUGGUGUUAUAUUUCUAACAUAGCCUUCAGUGAAAAUUAAUUGAAUGAAUUAUCUUUUUUUAAAAGUGUUAAUACGUUAAUUGAAUGAAGUAUUGAGAAAAAUCAGUCCUUAAAAAAAUGGGUUUCUUUUUGGAAAAAAAAAGGAUUUGAUUGAAAGUUAGAGGGUUAAACUUUAUUUUUGAAAGACUCAAGUGGUUUCAUUGUAGACUGGUACGGUAAACUUACAUGUCUAUUGAUCUUUCAAAAUGAAAAAUAUAAUGCGGUGAGCAUGGAUCGAACACGCGACCUUCAGAUCUUCAGUCUGACGCUCUCCCAACUGAGCUAUCCCCGCUUGACGAACAGAGCAAUACAAGAAAUAUUAGUAGCAAGGAGAGGUAUAUUCAAGAGUAGAUCGUCUUGGUCAUGUGAAUUCAUUUCAUAGCAAUAUGAUUGGCAAACUAAUAUGUGUGAUUGUAUUGAAUAUUCAAUGUUGGCUCUGUAGAAUAUCCCAAACGAUAAAACAUCCGUCUUACUAUGA
This is a long non-coding RNA of Brassica napus (rape), 4770 nucleotides long. RefSeq lists it as uncharacterized. The transcript is spliced from 4 exons. NCBI's taxonomy places the organism in Eukaryota, Viridiplantae, Streptophyta, Magnoliopsida, Brassicales, Brassicaceae. The record is from RefSeq and is a predicted model, not a curated record.